CGGGGAUUAAAAAAGCCGACAACAGUUGCUGACGUGUGGACCCGAGGAUGGCGGCCGUCAUAAAUAAUGUUGAGCGCGGUGGUUGGGACGGACACUGAAAGGGCGCGCGCGUCCGUGCCGACGCAUUUCAGUCCCAAAUUUGGGUCGGAAAUGGAUCAGCGCGGACGCGAUUUGAAAAUGGGUUGGCGCGUUGGCCCAUCAUUUUUGUCCGCGCGGAUCCAAACGGACGGCGGCGGACGAAAUAGAUCAUCCAAUUAGAGUUGCUCUAAGGCUAGUCAUAGUAGGAAGUAACUUAAACUAGUAACAUACAUAUAUUACUAAUCUAUGUUAUCACCUUCACAGUGGGUAAUAUGAGUUUCAAUUGUAGGGAUAUAUAUCCGGUGCACCCACGCUUAUGAUGCUACCGGUGUAGCUGAUGCCUUAGAGUGUUUUAAAAAAUCUAAAAA
RNAcentral lists this long non-coding RNA (446 nucleotides) under Hordeum vulgare. RNAcentral describes it as "long non-coding RNA (HVUL_LNC012481)". Lineage: Eukaryota; Viridiplantae; Streptophyta; Magnoliopsida; Poales; Poaceae. The record is from RNAcentral.